AGAGUUUGAUCAUGGCUCAGGACGAACGCUGGCGGCGUGCCUAACACAUGCAAGUCGAACGAAGUAUAUUUUCGGAUAUGCUUAGUGGCGGACGGGUGAGUAACGCGUGAACAAUCUGCCCUGUACACAGGAAUAGCCUCGGGAAACUGGGAUUAAAACCGGAUAACACUUUCUGGCCGCAUGGCCGGGAAGUCAAAUUGAUUUAGAGGUACAGGAUGAGUUCGCGUCUGAUUAGCUAGUUGGUGAGGUAACGGCUCACCAAGGCGACGAUCAGUAGCCGGCCUGAGAGGGUGAACGGCCACACUGGAACUGAGACACGGUCCAGACUCCUACGGGAGGCAGCAGUGGGGAAUAUUGCACAAUGGAGGAAACUCUGAUGCAGCGACGCCGCGUGAGUGAAGAAGGUCUUCGGAUCGUAAAACUCUGUCCUUGGUGACGAAAAAAAUGACGGUAGCCAAGGAGGAAGCCCCGGCUAACUACGUGCCAGCAGCCGCGGUAAUACGUAGGGGGCGAGCGUUGUCCGGAUUUACUGGGCGUAAAGGGUGAGUAGGCGGUAAUAUGUGUCAGAUGUAAAAGGCUAUGGCUUAACCAUAGUUGGCAUUUGAAACUGUAUUACUUGAGUGCAGGAGAGGUAAGUGGAAUUCCUAGUGUAGCGGUGAAAUGCGUAGAUAUUAGGAGGAACACCAGUGGCGAAGGCGACUUACUGGACUGUAACUGACGCUGAGUCACGAAAGCGUGGGUAGCAAACAGGAUUAGAUACCCUGGUAGUCCACGCUGUAAACGAUGAGUGCUAGGUGUUGGGUAGCGAUAUUCAGUGCCGAAGUAAACACAAUAAGCACUCCGCCUGGGGAGUACGGUCGCAAGACUGAACUCAAAGGAAUUGACGG
Molecule: ribosomal RNA, 887 nt
Filed under: Sedimentibacter sp. enrichment culture clone B411
Lineage: Bacteria; Bacillati; Bacillota; Tissierellia
Description: bacterial SSU rRNA
Rfam family: Bacterial small subunit ribosomal RNA
Source: RNAcentral